GAUGAACGCUGGCGGCGUGCCUAAUACAUGCAAGUCGAGCGAACGGACGAGAAGCUUGCUUCUCUGAUGUUAGCGGCGGACGGGUGAGUAACACGUGGAUAACCUACCUAUAAGACUGGGAUAACUUCGGGAAACCGUAGCUAAUACCGGAUAAUAUUUUGAAACGCAUGGUUCAAAAGUGAAAGACGGUCUUGCUGUCACUUAUAGAUGGAUCCGCGCUGCAUUAGCUAGUUGGUACGGUAACGGCUUACCAAGGCAACGAUGCAUAGCCGACCUGAGAGGGUGAUCGGCCACACUGGAACUGAGACACGGUCCAGACUCCUACGGGAGGCAGCAGUAGGGAAUCUUCCGCAAUGGGCGAAAGCCUGACGGAGCAACGCCGCGUGAGUGAUGAAGGUCUUCGGAUCGUAAAACUCUGUUAUUAGGGAAGAACAUAUGUGUAAGUAACUGUGCCCAUCUUGACGGUACCUAAUCAGAAAGCCACGGCUAACUACGUG
Molecule: ribosomal RNA, 497 nt
Filed under: uncultured bacterium
Lineage: Bacteria
Description: partial 16S ribosomal RNA
Rfam family: Bacterial small subunit ribosomal RNA
Source: RNAcentral